UACGUAGGGAGCGAGCGUUGUCCGGAAUCAUUGGGCGUAAAGCGCGCGUAGGCGGCCCGAUAAGUCCGUUGUGAAAGUCAAAGGCUCAACCUUUGAAUGCCGAUGGAUACUGUCGGGCUAGAGUCCGGAAGAGGCGAGUGGAAUUCCUGGUGUAGCGGUGGAAUGCGCAGAUAUCAGGAGGAACACCAAUAGCGAAGGCAGCUCGCUGGGACGGUACUGACGCUAAGGCGCGAAAGCGUGGGAGCGAACAGG
RNAcentral lists this ribosomal RNA (252 nucleotides) under uncultured bacterium. Its description in RNAcentral is "partial 16S ribosomal RNA". It matches the Rfam family "Bacterial small subunit ribosomal RNA", at positions 524 to 776 of the family's 1533-position model. The record is from RNAcentral.